AGAGUUUGAUCAUGGCUCAGAACGUACGCUGGCGGCACGCCUAACACAUGCAAGUCGAACGAAGUAGCAAUACUUAGUGGCAGACGGGUGAGUAACAUGUAGGUAUCUGCCCNUUGGCCUGGAAUAACACGAGGAAACUUGUGCUAAUACUGGAUAAGUCUUUACGGAGAAAGCUUUAUGCACCAUUGGAUGAGCCUGCACUUGAUUAGUUUGUUGGUGGGGUAAUGGCCUACCAAGACUGUGAUCAAUAGCUGAUUUGAGAGGAUGAUCAGCCACAUUGGGACUGAGACACGGCCCAAACUCCUACGGGAGGCAGCAGUGGGGAAUCUUGCACAAUGGAGGAAACUCUGAUGCAGCGAUGCCGCGUGAGUGAAGAAGGCCCUUGGGUUGUAAAGCUCUUUCGUCGGGGAAGAAAAUGACUGUACCCGAAUAAGAAGGUCCGGCUAACUUCGUGCCAGCAGCCGCGGGUAAUACGAAGGGACCUAGCGUAGUUCGGAAUUACUGGGCUUAAGAGUUCGUAGGUGGUUGAAAAAGUGGUGGUGAAAUCCCAGAGCUUAACUCUGGAACUGCCAUCAAAACUUUUCAGCUAGAUAUGAUAGAGGAAGC
This 606-nucleotide ribosomal RNA is filed under the name uncultured marine bacterium. Its description in RNAcentral is "bacterial SSU rRNA". It matches the Rfam family "Bacterial small subunit ribosomal RNA", at positions 8 to 661 of the family's 1533-position model. The record is from RNAcentral.